This 460-nucleotide ribosomal RNA is filed under the name uncultured bacterium. RNAcentral's name for it is "partial 16S ribosomal RNA". It matches the Rfam family "Bacterial small subunit ribosomal RNA", at positions 338 to 795 of the family's 1533-position model. The record is from RNAcentral.
CCUACGGGAGGCAGCAGUGAGGAAUAUUGGUCAAUGGGCGCGAGCCUGAACCAGCCAAGUAGCGUGAAGGAUGACUGCCCUACGGGUUGUAAACUUCUUUUAUAAAGGAAUAAAGUGAGGCACGUGUGCCUUUUUGUAUGUACUUUAUGAAUAAGGAUCGGCUAACUCCGUGCCAGCAGCCGCGGUAAUACGGAGGAUCCGAGCGUUAUCCGGAUUUAUUGGGUUUAAAGGGUGCGUAGAUGGGUUGUUAAGUCAGUUGUGAAAUUUUGCGGCUUAACCGGAGAAUUGCAAUUGAUACUGGCAGUCUUGAGUACAGGUGAGGUAGGCGGAAUGCGUGGUGUAGCGGUGAAAUGCUUAGAUAUCACGAAGAACUCCGAUUGCGAAGGCAGCUUACCAAACUGCCACUGACAUUGAUGCACGAAAGCGUGGGUAUCAAACAGGAUUAGAUACCCGGGUAGUC